This 2117-nucleotide long non-coding RNA is filed under the name Mus musculus (house mouse). RNAcentral describes it as "long non-coding RNA chr9:113831256-113833373". Lineage: Eukaryota; Metazoa; Chordata; Mammalia; Rodentia; Muridae. The record is from RNAcentral.
AUUUUCUAUUCUUUUAUUUUCUUUUUUUUUUCAGAUCUUUACUUCUUUUUUUUUUUUAAUUUUUUUUAAAUUAGGUAUUUUCUUCCUUUACAUUUCCAAUGCUAUCCCAAAAGUUCCCCAUUCCCUACCCACCCACUCCCACUUCUUGGCCCUGGUGUUCCCCUGUACUGAGGCAUAUAAAGUUUGCAAGACCAAUGGGCCUCUCUUUUCACUGAUGGCCGACUAGGCCAUCUUCUGAUACAUACGCAGCUAGAGACAAGAGCUCCAUGGGGUACUGGUUAGUUCAUAUUGUUGUUCCACCUAUAGGGUUGCAGAUCCCUUUAGCUCCUUGGGUUCUUUCUCUAGCUCCUCCAUUGGGGGCCCUGUGAUCUAUCCAGUAGCUGACUGUGAGCAUCCACUUCUGUGUUUGCUAGGCCCCGGCAUUGUCUCACAAGAGACAGCUACAUCUGGGUCCCUUCAGCAAAAUCUUGCUAGUAUAUGCAAUGGGGUCAGCGUCUAUAGGCUGAUUAUGGGAUGGAUCCCCCAGUAUGGCAGUAAGCGGGAAAGAACCCAGAUGCCCCUCAACAGAGGAAUGGAUACAGAAAAUGUGGUACAUUUACACAAUGGAGUACUACUCAGCUAUUAAAAAGAACGAAUUUAUGAAAUUCCUAGGCAAAUGGAUGGACCUGGAGGGCAUCAUCCUGAGUGAGGUAACACAUUCACAAAGGAACUCACACAAUAUGUACUCACUGAUACGUGGAUAUUAGCCCAGAUACUUAGGAUACCCAAGAUACAAGAUACAAUUUGCAAAACACAUGAAACUGAAGAAGAAUGAAGACACUGUGUCCCUUCUUAGAAUUGGAAACAAAACACCCAUGGAAGGAGUUACAGAGACAAAGUUUGGAGCUGAGACAAAAGGAUGGACCAUCUAGAGACUGCCUACCAUUUUCUUUACAGCAUUUGAAAUCAAAUUUCCCACUCUCCCUAGCCUCCUGUUGGGCAUCACUUGUAGCUUGUCUUUUCCUAGUCCAGGGCUGCUUCUUUCUUCCACCUUCUCCACCCUCUCCACUCCUCAAGACGACAUAGGAGAGACAAGAGGAUAGAGGGAGGGGAUUGGAGUUACCUGAAUAGGGCCCAGGGUCUGAAAGGAGGAGAUGUUAUCAUUAGACUACUUCCUGCCGAUUAGGGUCAUCGAGUUCCUGGGGGCAAGUGUGAUCUUUGUUAUCAGGAUAUCUAAUUUAUUCUUUCUCAUUUUUCCUUUGGGCACGACUAACAAAUUGCAACCAACAACAGCCAACAACCCAUCCCUCCUCUCAGGGCCCUAUCAUUUAUAUACCCUCUAAAAUAAACAUCCUCAGAAUUCCAAAUAUCACACACACAGAAAUUAUCUGCAGCUGGCAAAAAUUAGACACCUGCUAGAGCAGGGGAAAAAAAUCAUAGUUGUAAUACUUCUGUGGGUUUUCUGUUUGUUUUUUAACCUAAACUCCAAAAUUGGCACUACAAGCUCCCUUUCUCCUUUUAAAUCCAUCUCUGAGCCCAGAGCAUGGAAAGGUGUCACCUAUCUACAUUUAAGGUUGGGUUCCCUCUUGGUCAGCCCUUUCUGGAAACACUGUUUCGGAGGUUGUGGACUGGAUUCUAAGUUAAACUGACUGUGGAUAUUACUUAUCACAAUGUGCAAAAUGUCUCAACUCUUGGAGCACUUCAGACUUUGAAAUUUCAGAUUAGGCACAUUCAAUGUGUGUGUGUUUUUUUUUUUUUUUUGGUAAAUUAUGAAUAUGAAAAUAGGGCUGAAGAGAUGGCUCAGUAGUUAAGAAAGUGUAUUACUGCUGGGCGUGGUGGCACACGCCUUUAAUCCCAGCACUCGGGAGGCAGAGGCAGGCAGAUUUCCGAGUUCGAGGCCAGCCUGGUCUACAAAGUGAGUUAUACAGAGGAACCCUGUCUUGAAAGCCAAAAAAAAAAAAAAAAAUUAAAAUUAAAAAAAGUAUAUUACUGUUGCAGAGGGCUUGAAUUUGAUUCUUAGCAUCCAUAUUGAGUGACUUACAACUCUCUGAAACUUUAGCUCUGGUAGAUCUGACAUCUUCUAAAAGGCAUACACAUACAUAGGCAUACACAUAGACAAAAAACACACAUAAAAUAAU